UACGAGGGGGGCAAGCGUUGUUCGGAUUUAUUGGGCGUAAAGGGUGCGUAGGCGGUUUGGCAAGUCUCGUGUGAAAUCUUCGGGCUCAACCCGAAGCCUGCACGAGAAACUACCGGGCUUGAGUAUUGGAGAGGUGAGUGGAAUUUCCGGUGUAGCGGUGAAAUGCGUAGAUAUCGGAAGGAACCCCUGUGGCGAAAGCGGCUCACUGGACAAUAACUGACGCUGAUGCACGAAAGCUAGGGGAGCAAACAGG
Molecule: ribosomal RNA, 253 nt
Filed under: uncultured bacterium
Lineage: Bacteria
Description: partial 16S ribosomal RNA
Rfam family: Bacterial small subunit ribosomal RNA
Source: RNAcentral